Molecule: long non-coding RNA, 617 nt
Filed under: Ananas comosus (pineapple)
Lineage: Eukaryota; Viridiplantae; Streptophyta; Magnoliopsida; Poales; Bromeliaceae
Description: long non-coding RNA (ACOM_LNC012706)
Source: RNAcentral
AAAUUAGAUUGAUUAAUUUUAAAAUAUGUAUUGCAAGGUUUUUUUUUUUUUAAGAAAAGAUAACACGCUAUCUGUUUCGUUCAUUAAAAAUAUGAAUUAAGCAAUAUGAGUGAGGUAAAAUAAAGCCUCGGUGGAAGCUAAAAGAAAAGAGGUUAAGAUAGUUGGAUUUUAGAGUAGAGAAUAUUCUCCUACUGGGUUGCCAAUCGUUUGAUUUUUAGCGACCGUCAUCAAAAAGUCUGCGUUAAGUAUCUCUAAAAAUACCACUAUUCUGUGUAUCCAAAAUGACCCACUAGUAAGCUAUCAGACUAGUCAAUCUUGUUCGAAUCAGCUAUGAUCUGUUCCUUAACAUCAACCUAUCCCACAUACGUACAUCUCACAUCGUCCCCUAAAUUUCUAAAUUAAACCCCCUCUAGGGUCAUCACAAUCAGAAAUUUACUAAAAACACACUGUAUGAAUAGAUGGUCGACUGUCUCCUUCUCGAUCCCAAGGUUUUAGUUGCAUGCGCUGUACAUAUAUGAUAUGUACUUAGACACCCAAUGCAGGUAAUAAUUUUAAUGGGUAAUAAAGGUUAAAUUGUAAAAAAUAAUUAGGCUAAAUAUUGCGAACUUAGAAAUAUU